GCUUUCAUAGCUCAUUUGGUUAGAGCACCCGUUUAGUAAGCGGAAGGUCUUGAGUUCAAAUCUCAAUGAAAGCA
RNAcentral lists this transfer RNA (74 nucleotides) under Nelumbo nucifera (sacred lotus). It matches the Rfam family "tRNA". Rfam says of the family: Transfer RNA (tRNA) molecules are approximately 80 nucleotides in length. Their secondary structure includes four short double-helical elements and three loops (D, anti-codon, and T loops). Further hydrogen bonds mediate the characteristic L-shaped molecular structure. tRNAs have two regions of fundamental functional importance: the anti-codon, which is responsible for specific mRNA codon recognition, and the 3' end, to which the tRNAs corresponding amino acid is attached (by aminoacyl-tRNA synthetases). tRNAs cope with the degeneracy of the genetic code in two manners: having more than one tRNA (with a specific anti-codon) for a particular amino acid; and 'wobble' base-pairing, i.e. permitting non-standard base-pairing at the 3rd anti-codon position. Lineage: Eukaryota; Viridiplantae; Streptophyta; Magnoliopsida; Proteales; Nelumbonaceae. The record is from Rfam by way of RNAcentral.